RNAcentral lists this long non-coding RNA (593 nucleotides) under Homo sapiens (human). Its description in RNAcentral is "non-protein coding lnc-HMGB2-12:1". The record is from RNAcentral. Lineage: Eukaryota; Metazoa; Chordata; Mammalia; Primates; Hominidae.
CCACCAACCAGUUUAUUAUUCAAAGCCAGGUAUCUCUUGCUUAAUAGGAAUUUUCUGAAUAAUACUUUAAGCUUAAAGAAUUCAUGAAUUAAGAAAAUUUAAGAAAAAAACCUCUUGAACUGUGAAAACUAAAGGGUAUGGAGCAGAAACUCUGUGAAGAGAGAGAGGCAAAGCCUUCCCCUGCUACCCCCUUACUUAAAAAAAUUUUUUUCUGGCAUUUGUAGUUGUAGCCUCCCAACUCUGUGAGCCAGCAGGUGAAACACUCUGGGUCUGAACAAAACAUGUUUGAAAAUCAUUUGUAAGAAAGGAUCCUCUUCUGGCCUCUGUAAUAUGAUGUUUUGGCCAGGGAAAAGGCAGGGCAAUUCAGACAGCGCAGCAGCAUCCUCACUGCAAGAGGUAGGAGAAACCACAGGACAUGGCAGAAUCUUAGGGUGUGAGGGCCAGAGCAAAGGUGAAGUCAGGAGGCAGUAAGUGCAGGCUGGUUGAGCGGAGGGACCGUGUGUAAUGCUGAGGAGUUUGGACUUUGUAAGGUAAUGUAACAAUAACCAACAAUAAUCAACAUCUAAACAUAUGCCAGACACUGGGCUAAGUGC